CCUACGGGAGGCAGCAGUGGGGGAUAUUGCACAAUGGAGGGAACUCUGAUGCAGCGACGCCGCGUGAGGGAAGACGGUCCUCGGGUUGUAAACCUCUGUCUUUGGGGAAGAAAAUGACGGUACCCAAAGAGGAAGCUCCGGCUAACUACGUGCCAGCAGCCGCGGUAAUACGUAGGGAGCGAGCGUUGCCCGGAAUUACUGGGUGUAAAGGGAGCGUAGGCGGGAGAGAAAGUUGAAGGUUAAAUCCACGGGCUUACCUGGUGGCUGCGUUCAAAACUUCGUGUCUUGAGUGCAGGAGAGGCAGGCGGAAUUCCUAGUGUAGCGGUGAAAUGCGUAGAUAUCAGGAGGAACACCAGUGGCGAAGGCGGCCUGCUGGGCUGCAACUGACGCUGAGGCUCGAAAGCGUGGGGAGCAAACAGGAUUAGAUACCCUGGUAGUC
RNAcentral lists this ribosomal RNA (439 nucleotides) under uncultured bacterium. Its description in RNAcentral is "partial 16S ribosomal RNA". It matches the Rfam family "Bacterial small subunit ribosomal RNA", at positions 338 to 795 of the family's 1533-position model. The record is from RNAcentral.